AAAAAAUGACUUUUCUUUUGUUGUGGAGUAAAAACGGCUUGUAGCUCAACUUGUGUCCUCUACUCUGUCAUCACAGAUAGUCACACUACAAGCCCAAUUGGUUCACCUAAUUUGCCCUCUGAACCCCAGAGGAGCAACAUAGGCAUUGUUGGCCGAGAUGUCCAGAAUGUGGUAAAACAGGCACAUCAGCCAUCUUUGUGGCCGCCGGCGUUAUGAAUAGGAGCCACAUCCCUGCAAAAAGACUUUUUGCAUUUAUAACCUUUUUGAAGAGGGAUACACAACAAACAUUUUCAAUGUCUGUGAUAUACUAAACAAAGAUGAUAAACCCAUCGCUUGCCUCAGCGAGCUGAAGCCAGGACAAGAAGUACUUGCAAGAUGGUUUGACAGCAAGUUCUACAAUGCCACAGUUAACUUAAUUGGAACAGCUGACAAGCCUGUGGAUACCAAGAAGGACAUGAAAAAAAAAAAGAGAUACAGCUGCUCAGAUUCUACAACCUUCCAUCCCCUCUUCAAACAGGCCAGUCCACCUCUGCACAGGAUUACCCAAAUACUAUGGAUACAAUGCCAUCCAGCCUCCCCCUGCUGAGUCAUCUCUACCUGUCCAGCCACAGCACCAACUUCCAGUUUCCCAGUCAUAGCCACAUAUGCCUCAAUAUUACCUGCAUUCACCUAUCCAGUCAAUCCACCUGUAUGCAUCCACUCUGUCUUCAGUCCCAUAUUGUUCAAGCCUUUUGGACUAUUCAAAGCAUCAUCAACCUCACAUGGCACUGUCCACACCUUUUAGAGCUAACACAACAGCAGCCUGUGUUGGCAUUUUGGAUCAGCAAAGACUUCCACCAGCUCUUACUGUCGAAGAAAGCUUAAUCAAAAUGUUGCACAGUCCUAAUCCACAUUAACAACCUGCAGUUCUUAGGAAACUAAAGCCAGGCUAGUACAUCUGAACAAAGACUUCUUCAAGCAGAUACUUUAAUCAUUGCGCGAGAUCCAAUUUCAGAAUGUAGAGAACCAUGUUUCGAUUUGUCUGAAUCAACAAAAGACCGAUCCUGGGAGACAUGCAAGGCAGAGGUGGAAAAUUUUGUGGAGAAUUCCAAACUGCAGGAUGUGCUGUCAGGUGUACCCAAUUGCUAUCCCGUACCGUACACACAAGCACUGUAAAAAGUUUUCUAAUGAAAAUAAUGUGGGCAAUAAUCCAGUGUUUUUGAAGUGUUGUUCAUCAUAAAAUGGUAAUUAUGUUUAACAUUGGCGGGUGUGCGGCCGGAGUGCAUCAAUCUCAGCGACAACGGCUGAAUCUGCAAGGUCCCGCCCUGCAGUGGCAGCAGCACAGCCGCUGCAGGUGGGCGACAGCCGUAGCUGCGAGCAUUUGCAAAUGAGCCCUGCACAAGAUCCCGCGCCAAUGUCAGCAAGGCUCCGAUGACCCAAAUAGCCAAACGGCUAUUAAAUUUUACUCGUGUAACCGAUGUGCAAAAUGGCUGACUGAAAAUUUGGAAUUUUCAAAUGUAUACUGCCUGGGUUUUUAUGUAUAUUGUGAGUGUUUCCAAUUGUUUCGGGUCCAAAGAUUUUCUAGUGUGUUGCCUGAACUUUGGUGAAUUCAAGGAGGGGAGGAUGUAACCGAUGUGUAAAAUGGUUAAAAGUAAUUUUCACCAAAGUUCGUUUUUUUUAUAAAUUGCAUUUUUCAAAAAACAGCUUUUUAACAUUUAUGAGAAUUGUUAUAGGAAGUACUAUUAUUUAUUUUCAUUUAAUUUAUCCUACAUGACCUUUGACUUCGUGGUGAUGUCACUUCCUCCUGUGGUCACGCUCUCUUCAGUUGUUAACGAGACUGCAGAGAGGCAGGUACGAUAUGAAGUUGCUCUUUUGUUUGUUGUGCUAGGUGCAAAAGACACUAAAUAAGAAAGUUGAGCUCGCUUUUCAAUGUAGCAUAGUUUGUUCAGAGAGUAUUUGUGUUUCAUAUAACUGUGGUACAGCGAGUGUAAUGCUCUUUUUAAGACAUUAAAGCCGACGAAGCUGGAGUUAAUACUCAUGGUCCCGCCACAUUCUUUUUCCUUUGAAGGUGUGCAUGAGGGCUUCAGCCAGAGAGGUCGCUGUAUUCAUUUUUAUUUUUUUUUAUCAGAUGGCUGUGUGUCAAUAAACUCCUUCUGUCUGGCAAUAAAGCGACCUCCUCCUGUCAUCAUUUGUCAACACAACACAACGCAGAAGUUUUAUCUAGCCAGAGGUCAGUACUAGACCGGCUACACUCGUACCACAGACCGGACAUCAUCCCACACCACCGUCCGACAAUGUGACGUGGAAUUUUGACUGACAACAUGCGAGCGGGCCAUUAAGUCCCUAAAACGGAAGUGCGGGCAGUUCCAGGAGGAAUUUGUCCAAUUGAAGGAGAGCCGAACUGAAGCGGCGUCACCCGACGCAGAUGUGUCAGCAGCGUCAGCUUCGUCAGCCGGGGCAAUCUUGCCUAAAAAAACUCUUACGAGCAAGAUUUUCCCAACGAUCGGGCCUCAAACCAAAAGACGCCGAUCGUAUAUGUUACGAGCUGAAGCGUUCCAUGUCCAACUUGCACAGGACCCUGUACGCCCACCGCCAGAUGGUCCUGCUGGCUUGGGAACGAAGAAUCUCGCUGGCUUUGUUUUGUUGUCUUAUCGACUCUGCCUACUGCUUAGGUUGC
This is a long non-coding RNA of Corythoichthys intestinalis (scribbled pipefish), 2656 nucleotides long. RefSeq lists it as uncharacterized. The transcript is spliced from 3 exons. NCBI's taxonomy places the organism in Eukaryota, Metazoa, Chordata, Actinopteri, Syngnathiformes, Syngnathidae. The record is from RefSeq and is a predicted model, not a curated record.